UUUCUCUAACUUGCUCAAAGAAGGAUCAGUACAUCUGGUGCUGUAAAAGAGCAGGUCACAGAAGAGUCUCAAAAACUAUCAGAGCUGGCUCCCCUGUUUGAAAAGUCUAAAUCAUCUCUCUUCAGUUGGAUGAAGUAUAUUUACAGAUUCUCACAAGGACUCAGGCUCAGACAGAUUGAUAUGAUCAGUGAUGAUAUUGCUGGCAGCUCCACAACACUGACAAAAAUGACAAGGUGUAUUCGAGAGGUUUGUAUUCGUGCAAUGGACAGCCACAGGAGGAAGAGCAGGCAGUGUCGUGGUGGUGGAAAAGAAUUGUUGUGAUAGACGCGAGUUGCUUCCGUCAUCAGUGAAAGGUUUGUACACCUUUUAAGUUUGUUUAAAAAGAGCUUCUUAAAGACACUGCUGUUUGCUAGCUUACACAUGCACAUAAUAGGUCUGUCACAACAUGAAAUUUUGCUAUGUAGUUAAAAAAAAUAUAUAUAUUUUUUUUAUCAUUGUACAUGACAAAUCAAAGCCUAAGGCCUGUUAAGCUGUCUGGCUUCCUAUAUUUUUAUACUUAGUAGAUCCCAAUUAAUGACAGACAUUUUCAGCUUAAACAAACACUACUCACCACCUUCCACUAAGGUUGUUAUUUAACUAACAUCAAAUAAAUGAACACUACUCACUGCCCUCUAAAGGCGUUAUUAACAAACAUCAAAUAAACAAACGUUACUUGCCUCUGCUUUCUAAAAGUGUUAUAGCAACAAGUUAGAGCAUUUAUUGCUUUUGUAUGGUCAAUAAUGUCUCAAUAAAUAAAUAAAUAAAUAUAUAUAUAUAUAUAUAUAUAUAUAUAUAUAUAUAUAUUUCUUUGGUUCUCAACUGGUAAAAAUGCUCCCAGUUGUGGUCAGCUAAAAAUGCCAUCAGCUCAAAUAAUUAUGAUCACAUGAUUAUGUAAUAAUUGUGAUGCACAUGCACAGACAGAUUCUCUCUGUAUGACACACACACACAUGCACACACACUCAUGGACACACACAAACAAAACAAGCCAGAAAUAAGGUUGUUGCCAUCUUCAGUGUUGUUCAUGUAAACUACAAGAGGGGAAACAAAUAUUCACAUAUUUUUCCCUAUAUAAAUAUCUCUCUGUUCAUGCUUAUGAAUGCAUAUAUUUUUGUAUAUACAAAAAAGACAUUAAUCAUGUACAUUUGCAGUGGGUAUAUGUAGUGAAAAUAUACUAAUAACAAAAACAAACAUGUUUUAAUUUCAUUUAGUAUAGGUUCAGAGAAGGCAUGGUAUGAUCCUCUUGGGUAUUCCUGUUCAAUGUAUAAGAGAAAAUAUAUUUUAUGGUCAUUUUUAAUGAUUUCAUAUACUUUUUAAAAUGUCUAUUUUUAGAUUUAUUUCUCAUAUAAGAGAAAAAUGUAGCUUUACAAAAAUGUCUGGAGACAUCAUUAAUGGCCUUUUCUGUAUAAUUAUCCAUAAAUUAAGUUACGUGACCCAGAUGGAUAAGUGGCUUAGAAAAUGUAUGUAUAUACAUAAUUACUAAUACUAAAUGUGACAGUUUAAAACAAGAUGUCCAACAAUACUUUCUGUAGUUUAUGUUAAAACGAUUGUUUAAAAAUGUAGUGGUUAUUUUUAUAUAUAGAAUGCACAAGGACGAUUUGGAAAUGCCUGGAGAAGGAAGAAAUGGGUCUUUGGAAUGAUGGGAGUUAAAGACAAAAGAGACUAAAAAUAGAGACUAGUGUUGAAACUAGUGGAGAAACGAGCAAGACGCCACCUUAUCUCUCUGAUCAGAGACCAUGUUAAGGCAGGAAGUAGCAUAAGCAGUGAUAAGUGGAGGGCAUACAGGGUUGUUCUGAGGGUACAAACACUAUACUGUAAACCACAGCAGGUGGUUUGUGGAUUGCUGGUCUGGAAGCCACACACAACAUAUUGAAAGAGCAUGGGGGACCAUCAAAGGACAUAUCCGUAGACUGAGAGGGAAUCGCACAGAGACUUUGUUGAAGGAGCACCUCAUGGUUCUUCAAUGGUCAUCCUGGCUUGGCUCUCGUCACCCUGAUGGGCCACUUGGACACUUGUUCAAGGAUGUACACAAAGCCUUUCCAGUCUGAAUUUCAAGACUUAUUUUCCAGUUCUCUAAUUAUCAUUCAGUAAAGACUGCUUUAAUGUCUGAAUUUGGAGAUCAACCGUGCUUAACUGUUUCAUUAUUAUGAAAAGAGUUUCAGUAUGUAUGAAUGAAAAUGUUUGUUUGUUUCUGUUGUAUCUUUCUUCAUGUGACAAAAUUAGAUUAGCUAAAUGUAAAUAUUUGUAGAACAUGAAUAAACAGUGCACUUUACAGUAAGUAA
Molecule: long non-coding RNA, 2318 nt
Organism: Pygocentrus nattereri (red-bellied piranha)
Lineage: Eukaryota; Metazoa; Chordata; Actinopteri; Characiformes; Serrasalmidae
Exons: 3
Source: RefSeq, a predicted model, not a curated record